GAACGGUAACGGGCCCGCAAGGGUGCCGACGAGUGGCGGACGGGUGAGGAAUACAUCGGAAUCUGCCCGGUUGUGGGGGAUAACGUAGGGAAACUUACGCUAAUACCGCAUACGACCGAGAGGUGAAAGCGGGGGAUCGCAAGACCUCGCGCGAUCGGAUGAGCCGAUGUCGGAUUAGCUAGUUGGCGGGGUAAGAGCCCACCAAGGCGACGAUCCGUAGCUGGUCUGAGAGGAUGAUCAGCCACACUGGGACUGAGACACGGCCCAGACUCCUACGGGAGGCAGCAGUGGGGAAUAUUGGACAAUGGGGGCAACCCUGAUCCAGCAAUGCCGCGUGUGUGAAGAAGGCCUUCGGGUUGUAAAGCACUUUUAUCCGGAACGAAACGCGCUUGGUGAAUAACCAGNGUGAACUGACGGUACCGGAGGAAUAAGCACCGGCUAACUUCGUG
This 449-nucleotide ribosomal RNA is filed under the name uncultured bacterium. Its description in RNAcentral is "bacterial SSU rRNA". It matches the Rfam family "Bacterial small subunit ribosomal RNA", at positions 64 to 507 of the family's 1533-position model. The record is from RNAcentral.